GCAUCGAUGAAGUACGCAGCGAAAUGCGAUAACUAAUGUGAAUUGCAGAAUUCAGUGAAUCAUCGAGCCUUUGAACGCACAUUGCGCCCUCUGGUAUUCCGGAGGGCAUGCCUGUCCGAGCGUCAUUGCUGCCCUCAAGCCCGGCUUGUGUGUUGGGCCCCGUCCCCCCCGCCGGGGGGACGGGCCCGAAAGGCAGCGGCGGCACCGCGUCCGGUCCUCGAGCGUAUGGGGCUUCGUCACCCGCUCUAGUAGGCCCGGCCGGCGCCAGCCGACCCCCAACCUUUAAUUAUCUCAGGUUGACCUCGGAUCAGGUAGGGAUACCCGCUGAACUUAAGCAUAUCAAUAAGCGGAGGA
Molecule: ribosomal RNA, 354 nt
Filed under: uncultured fungus
Lineage: Eukaryota; Fungi
Description: eukaryotic LSU rRNA
Rfam family: 5.8S ribosomal RNA (bases 1-125)
Source: RNAcentral